Molecule: small nucleolar RNA, 75 nt
Filed under: Cebus imitator (Panamanian white-faced capuchin)
Lineage: Eukaryota; Metazoa; Chordata; Mammalia; Primates; Cebidae
Description: Small nucleolar RNA SNORD116 (ENSCCAG00000013119.1)
Rfam family: Small nucleolar RNA SNORD116
About the family: HBII-85 is a member of the C/D class of snoRNAs, which contain the C (UGAUGA) and D (CUGA) box motifs. HBII-85 is encoded in a tandemly repeated array with another C/D snoRNA, HBII-52, in the Prader-Willi syndrome (PWS) region of chromosome 15. Unlike most other snoRNAs, HBII-85 is expressed prevalently in the brain (but is absent in PWS patients) and lacks any significant complementarity with ribosomal RNA.
Source: Rfam by way of RNAcentral
GGAUCGAUCAUUCCUUGGAAAGCUGAACAAAAUGAGUGAAAACUCUAUACCGCCAUCCUCAUCGAACUGAGGUCC